AUGACUUCUCCUUUGGUACCUGUGUUCUGUACUCCUGGUUUGAAAAUCCCUUCCAGGACAGAUAGUACAGUGUUACCCAAGUCACAAGAGAUAAACAAACUGCUUCUUCCUAAACAUACAGAAACGCCACCACCUCCAGAUUUUGAAACAAGAUGGCUCAAGGUAAAGCCAGGGGAAAAAGUUGGGUCAGUGACAGAAAGUGAUGCAAAAGAAAACCAAACCAUAGAAGAUAGCAUUCCUCCUACUGUGAGCUCCGAUGAGUAUCUUAAGCGUUUGGGAGACCCUUCUCCUCCUAAAAUAAAACAGUACGACCAUUUGCUCAGUACUCCUCCACCUCCAGAAAUAACAAGGAUACCAGAUGAUGUUCUACAGAUUCUGUCAAAGUAUAAUCAUAAAGUAGUAGACUCUUCUAAAGACAAGAAAAUGGAGACUAAGGCAGGAGGCACUACAAGAUUUGAAAGUGAUUCCACUGAUUACUGCAACAAAGAGAACAGAGCCUGUCCUGUUGCUUUCAAGCCAAGCGUUUGAAAUCAAGCUGAAGACCAUAUUUCACUUUCAUGGACCUUAUCACUGAAUCACAGAAAACUCAAAAAGCAAAAAGAAAUACCGGGAGUAAAGACUCACAAAAGAAAAGUGUUUUGUUUUCCUGGAGAACACUUGAUAUGGAUUAAUUCAAACUAAUGAUUUUAUGCAUAAUGUUUUAUUAAAAUUAGUGACAAAAUAGAUCUUAUUUUAUAUUUUUUAAUAUUGCUUCAAAGAGGACUAAGGUUGUGUAUUAUGUAAUACCUCAGUUGUUUCAUGUGAUUCUUGUGUUUGCUGUGUACAUGUGUGUGUAUAUACAUCUGCAGUAGGUUGUAGAGAAAUGUAACUAAGUUGCAAUAAAAGGAAAGUCCAUUACGCUGCCCA
Molecule: long non-coding RNA, 906 nt
Filed under: Anas platyrhynchos platyrhynchos (common mallard)
Lineage: Eukaryota; Metazoa; Chordata; Aves; Anseriformes; Anatidae
Description: lncRNA (ENSAPLG00000029581.1)
Source: RNAcentral